GGAUGUGAGGGUGAUGUGGCUGUGACAUCUGUCACCCUCCUGGUCACCAGGGUUGAUUCAGCUGGUCUAGCUGGCUAGGCGGGUGUCCCCUUCCUCCCUCACUGCUCCCUGUGUGUCCCUCCUGAAGCUGUGUGCUUGGUUUCAGAGGACGACCUCUCCCCGAAUCAAGGAGGACCGGUCUUCCGUCAAAGGUAUGCUACUAGCUGCGCUUCCCUCCUAGAAUGUCCAAACAAGCUCUCCAGAAAUGGUGUCUUCAGAAUAAAGAUAAUCAUGUAAAUAAUAAAAAGAAUAUAGGGACCAUACAAACAAUUAGAAUGCAUGAAUUC
This 326-nucleotide small nuclear RNA is filed under the name Jaculus jaculus (lesser Egyptian jerboa). Its description in RNAcentral is "7SK RNA (ENSJJAG00000008052.1)". It matches the Rfam family "7SK RNA". From Rfam's summary of the family: 7SK was discovered as an abundant small nuclear RNA in the mid-70s but a possible function has only recently been suggested. The record is from RNAcentral. Lineage: Eukaryota; Metazoa; Chordata; Mammalia; Rodentia; Dipodidae.